GAUGAACGUUGGCGGCGUGCCUAAUACAUGCAAGUCGAACGAAGAGCUCGGUGUAGCAAUACACUGAAACUCUUAGUGGCGAACGGGUGAGUAACGCGUUGGUGACCUGCCCCAAAGAGAGGGGUAACAGUUCGAAAGGAUUGCUAAUACCUCAUGUGAUCGUCUGGAUUAGAUGCCUAAUGAUCAAAGGAGCUUGCUCCGCUUUGAGAGGGGCCUGCGUACCAUCAGCUAGUUGGUAGGGUAAUGGCCUACCAAGGCUAUGACGGUUAGGGGACCUGAGAGGGUGGCCCCCCACAAUGGAACUGAAACACGGUCCAUACACCUACGGGUGGCAGCAGUAGGGAAUAUUGGUAAUGUGCGAAAGCGCGAACCAGCAACGCCGCGUGUGCGAAGAAGGCCUUCGGGUUGUAAAGCACUUUUCGGGAGGAAGAGGAAGGACUGUACUCCCGGAAUAAGUCUCGGCUAACUACGUG
Molecule: ribosomal RNA, 473 nt
Filed under: uncultured bacterium
Lineage: Bacteria
Description: bacterial SSU rRNA
Rfam family: Bacterial small subunit ribosomal RNA
Source: RNAcentral